RNAcentral lists this transfer RNA (86 nucleotides) under Desulfosudis oleivorans Hxd3. RNAcentral's name for it is "tRNA-Tyr (GTA) (tRNA-Tyr-GTA-1-1)". It matches the Rfam family "tRNA". From Rfam's summary of the family: Transfer RNA (tRNA) molecules are approximately 80 nucleotides in length. Lineage: Bacteria; Pseudomonadati; Thermodesulfobacteriota; Desulfobacteria; Desulfobacterales; Desulfosudaceae. RNAcentral also lists the same sequence under 1 other name. The record is from RNAcentral.
GGUGGGGUUCCCGAGUGGCCAAAGGGAACAGACUGUAAAUCUGUCGGUAUACACCUUCGGAGGUUCAAAUCCUCCCCCCACCACCA